GACGAACGCUGGCGGCGUGCUUAACACAUGCAAGUCGAACGGAAAGGCCCUGCUUUUGUGGGGUGCUCGAGUGGCGAACGGGUGAGUAACACGUGAGUAACCUGCCCUUGACUUUGGGAUAACUUCAGGAAACUGGGGCUAAUACCGGAUAGGAGCUCCUGCUGCAUGGUGGGGGUUGGAAAGUUUCGGCGGUUGGGGAUGGACUCGCGGCUUAUCAGCUUGUUGGUGGGGUAGUGGCUUACCAAGGCUUUGACGGGUAGCCGGCCUGAGAGGGUGACCGGCCACAUUGGGACUGAGGUACGGCCCAGACUCCUACGGGAGGCGGCAGUGGGGAAUAUUGCACAAUGGGCGGAAGCCUGAUGCAGCAACGCCGCGUGCGGGAUGACGGCCUUCGGGUUGUAAACCGCUUUCGCCUGUGACGAAGCGUGAGUGACGGUAAUGGGUAAAGAAGCACCGGCUAACUACGUG
RNAcentral lists this ribosomal RNA (468 nucleotides) under uncultured bacterium. RNAcentral describes it as "partial 16S ribosomal RNA". It matches the Rfam family "Bacterial small subunit ribosomal RNA", at positions 28 to 507 of the family's 1533-position model. The record is from RNAcentral.